This 287-nucleotide long non-coding RNA is filed under the name Elaeis guineensis (African oil palm). RNAcentral's name for it is "long non-coding RNA (EGUI_LNC079728)". The record is from RNAcentral. Lineage: Eukaryota; Viridiplantae; Streptophyta; Magnoliopsida; Arecales; Arecaceae.
CAUAGGAUAUCCUAAAGAGUCAUUAGGAUACUAUUUUUAUAUUCCGGAAGACCACAAUGUGAUUGUGAGUCGAAAUACUAUUUUUCUUGAAAAAUAAUUAAUUCAAGAUGGUGGCAUCGGAAGAAUAAUUAAACUCAAGGAGAAUAUCUCCCAAGAGCAACGAGCUAAAGAACCUGAGGAACCAAAUCAAUCAGAACCAGUCCUAACACAACCUCUUCCACCUCGUAGAUCGACUAGAGUUUUUCGUCCUCCUGAAAGGUACUUAGGUACUAUACAAGAGGAUAUAG